This 502-nucleotide ribosomal RNA is filed under the name uncultured bacterium. Its description in RNAcentral is "bacterial SSU rRNA". It matches the Rfam family "Bacterial small subunit ribosomal RNA", at positions 25 to 518 of the family's 1533-position model. The record is from RNAcentral.
CAGAUUGAACGCGUGGCGGCAGGCUAACACAUGCAAGUCGAGCGGGGAGUAGGGUGCUUGCACCUGAUUCCUAGCGGCGGACGGGUGAGUAAUGCUUAGGAAUCUGCCUAUUAGUGAGGGACAACGUUCCGAAAGGGACGCUAAUACCGCAUACGUCCUACGGGAGAAAGCAGGGGAUCUUCGGACCUUGCGCUAAUAGAUGAGCCUAAGUCGGAUUAGCUAGUUGGUGGGGUAAAGGCCUACCAAGGCGACGAUCUGUAGCGGGUCUGAGAGGAUGAUCCGCCACACUGGGACUGAGACACGGCCCAGACUCCUACGGGAGGCAGCAGUGGGGAAUAUUGGACAAUGGGGGCAACCCUGAUCCAGCCAUGCCGCGUUGUGUGAAGAAGGCCUUUUGGUUGUAAAGCACUUUAAGCGAGGAGGAGGCUUACCUGGUUAAUACCCGGGAUAAGUGGACGUUACUCGCAGAAUAAGCACCGGCUAACUCUGUGCCAGCCGCCGC